This 253-nucleotide ribosomal RNA is filed under the name uncultured bacterium. Its description in RNAcentral is "partial 16S ribosomal RNA". It matches the Rfam family "Bacterial small subunit ribosomal RNA", at positions 524 to 776 of the family's 1533-position model. The record is from RNAcentral.
UACGAAGGGGGCGAGCGUUGUUCGGAUUUACUGGGCGUAAAGCGCACGUAGGCGGCUCUUUAAGUCGGGGGUGAAAUCCUGGAGCUCAACUCCAGAACUGCCUUCGAUACUGUAGAGCUUGAGUUCGGGAGAGGUGAGUGGAACUGCGAGUGUAGAGGUGAAAUUCGUAGAUAUUCGCAAGAACACCAGUGGCGAAGGCGGCUCACUGGCCCGAUACUGACGCUGAGGUGCGAAAGCGUGGGGAGCAAACAGG